This 404-nucleotide ribosomal RNA is filed under the name uncultured bacterium. RNAcentral's name for it is "bacterial SSU rRNA". It matches the Rfam family "Bacterial small subunit ribosomal RNA", at positions 30 to 416 of the family's 1533-position model. The record is from RNAcentral.
AGUGAACGCUGGCGGCAGGCCUAACACAUGCAAGUCGAGCGGCAGCGGGUCCCCGCGAGGGGAUGCCGGCGAGCGGCGGACGGGUGAGGAACACAUCGGAAUCUGCCUGGUUGUGGGGGAUAACGUAGGGAAACUUACGCUAAUACCGCAUGAGACCCUGAGUCGACGGACUGGGGGUGAAAGUGAGGGACCUUCGGGCCUCACGCGACCAGAUGAGCCGAUGUCGGAUUAGCUAGUUGGCGGGGUAACGGCCCGCCAAGGCGACGAUCCGUAGCUGGUCUGAGAGGAUGAUCAGCCACACUGGGACUGAGACACGGCCCAGACUCCUACGGGAGGCAGCAGUGGGGAAUCUUGGACAAUGGGCGCAAGCCUGAUCCAGCCAUGCCGCGUGGGUGAAGAAGGCC